This 484-nucleotide ribosomal RNA is filed under the name uncultured bacterium. Its description in RNAcentral is "partial 16S ribosomal RNA". The record is from RNAcentral.
GUAGUUAGCCGGGGCUUCCUCCUUGGCUACCGUCACUUUCUUCGUCACCAAGGACAGAGGUUUACAACCCGAAAGCCUUCUUCCCUCACGCGGCGUUGCUGGGUCAGGCUUGCGCCCAUUGCCCAAUAUUCCCCACUGCUGCCUCCCGUAGGAGUCUGGACCGUGUCUCAGUUCCAGUGUGGCCGAUCACCCUCUCAGGUCGGCUACCGAUCGUCGCCUUGGUGGGCCUUUACCUCACCAACUAGCUAAUCGGACGCGAGCCCACCCUUCACCAGAUUGCUCUUUUGACCUCUGCGUCAUGUGGCGCUGUGGUCUCAUGCGGUUUUAGUGCACCUUUCGGUGCGUUAUCCCCCUGUGAAGGAAAGGUUGCUCACGCGUUACUCACCCGUCCGCCGCUAAUCCACUUCCGAAGAAGCUUCAUCGCUCGACUUGCAUGUGUUAAGCACGCCGCCAGCGUUCGUCCUGAGCCAGAAUCGAACCCUGA